RNAcentral lists this small RNA (26 nucleotides) under Bombyx mori (domestic silkworm). Its description in RNAcentral is "ovarian small RNA-12321". The record is from RNAcentral. Lineage: Eukaryota; Metazoa; Arthropoda; Insecta; Lepidoptera; Bombycidae.
AGUUUUAGCGGCCACUGUUCUACGAG